UGGGGAAUUUUGGACAAUGGGCGAAAGCCUGAUCCAGCAAUGCCGCGUGUGUGAAGAAGGCCUUCGGGUUGUAAAGCACUUUUGUCCGGAAAGAAAUCCUUGGCUCUAAUACAGUCGGGGGAUGACGGUACCGGAAGAAUAAGCACCGGCUAACUACGUGCCAGCAGCCGCGGUAAUACGUAGGGUGCAAGCGUUAAUCGGAAUUACUGGGCGUAAAGCGUGCGCAGGCGGUUUGCUAAGACCGAUGUGAAAUCCCCGGGCUCAACCUGGGAACUGCAUUGGUGACUGGCAGGCUAGAGUAUGGCAGAGGGGGGUAGAAUUCCACGUGUAGCAGUGAAAUGCGUAGAGAUGUGGAGGAAUACCGAUGGCGAAGGCAGCCCCCUGGGCCAAUACUGACGCUCAUGCACGAAAAGCGUGGGGAGCAAAACAGGAUUAGAUACCCUGGUAGUCCACGCCCUAAAACGAUGUCAACUAGUUGUUGGGGAUUCAUUUCCUUAGUAACGUAGCUAACGCGUGAAGUUGACCGCCUGGGGAGUACGGUCGCAAGAUUAAAAACUUAAAAGGAAUUGACGGGGUCAUAGCUGUUUCCU
RNAcentral lists this ribosomal RNA (590 nucleotides) under uncultured bacterium. Its description in RNAcentral is "partial 16S ribosomal RNA". It matches the Rfam family "Bacterial small subunit ribosomal RNA", at positions 355 to 1375 of the family's 1533-position model. The record is from RNAcentral.